Felis catus (domestic cat) is the source of this 900-nucleotide long non-coding RNA. RefSeq lists it as uncharacterized. NCBI's taxonomy places the organism in Eukaryota, Metazoa, Chordata, Mammalia, Carnivora, Felidae. The record is from RefSeq and is a predicted model, not a curated record. The transcript has 2 exons.
AAGUAAUAUUUAAAAUUCUAUUUCUAAAAUAAACAUGAAAUUUUCCCCAAUUCUUCAAAUUUGGAGAAAUCACAUCUAUGCUAUCACUGGAAUUAGUGUUUUGUAUUAAUUAACUUUUCUCUGGCUGCUGGAUCACAAAACUCAUCUUGAUUUUUGUUCAAUGAUACUUUACCUAGCAAUGUUUAUAAACUCUCUUAGAAACCAUAAUAAAGGAUCUACAGAUUAUUUUCUGUUUUCUAUGCAGCAAAUUUUAUACAACAAAGACAAUGACAGAGUUAUGGACUGAAUAUUUGUGCUCCUGCUAAAAUGUAUAUAUUGAAGCCCCAACCAAGUAUGGCUGUUACUUGAAGAUGGAGCCCCCCAAAAAAACUAAUUAAGAUUAAAUGAGAUCAUAAAAGUUAGGCCCAGAUCCAUUAGAAUUAGUGUGUUUAUAGAGACACCAGAGGCUGAACGAACCAACUCUUUCUCUCUCUCCCUCCCUCCUCUCUCUCUCUCUCCCCCUCUACCCCCUUUCAUCCUAUCCUCAUCUCCAACAUGUGCACACGCCAAGAAAAUGUCAUGUAAGGACAAAGCAAGAAAGCAGUUAUUAGCAAGCAAGGAAGACGUCCUCAACAGAAACUGACACCAUCAGACUUAAUAUGGGACUUCUAGCCCCCACAGCUAGAAAAUAAAUUUCUGUGUUUAAGCCACUCAAUCUACUAUAUUUCAUUAUGAUGACAGCCCUAGGUUUUUCUUCUGUGAUAUUUUCAUCUUUUCCUGAAGUGAAAUUAUGUUGUUGAUAAAACCUCAACUUUGUUUUUGUGAAAAUGUAUUCAAAUUUCCAUUGUUCUCAAAUAUCCACAUAUGGUAGAAAAGAAAAGUGACCAACUAAAAUAAAGAUUAAAAUAUUGAAAUAUUCAA